UGCCUACCGUAAAGGACUGAAAGAUUACUGGUGGCCCGGAGACCUUUCUAGUUUCACCAGGACAGGUGGGCGAGCAGAGGCUCUACCAAAAGGGGUGGGAUUUGAUGACAGCUGCUCGAGCGCCUCCGAAGGAGACCUGACAACUCAAGAGCAAUUGCUUCGCCAAUGAAUCUACUACCGGAUCGGAAUCGCGACCCGCUGAGAAGAUCCGGCGAGAAACUGAGCGGGCUGAUGCAUGGGUUAGGUUACACGUCACACUAUGUAUGUUGGCUUUUUAAAAUCCGUUCACAGAAGUUAUAAAGCUUUCCGAUGUGGUUAGUAGUGGGGGGUGGUAUUGAAUAAUAAAAAUGGAUACACAGUGCAGUUUAUGACAUCAUCGCCUUUAAAGCGCAUGCGCAUUCGUUUUACGAGUUCGACGAGAACGGUGACCGGUGCCUGAAGAGCCAAGCUUGAUAGCAAUACGUAGUUUGAGUAUUGAGUAAUUGAGUAUUCUUAUAAAGCCUCCUGUGAAUUAAACUAUUGUGUGUCACGGAGUAUCUUAUCUUAUACCUUUAAACGAGCAAUUUUUGUAUAUUAAUAUAUAUAAAUAUAAUCUGAAUCUCGGAAACGGCUCCAACGAUUUUCAUAAAAUUGAGUAUACGUAUAUAAAAUACGAGUAUAAAAUGUUGUUUUAUUCGUGUGUGUUUUCAAUAAUCAACUCUUCCCGACAUCUAUUGGCGAAUAAUAAUACUAUUUUUCUUAAUUGAGGGCAACUAACCGCUUUAAAGACACAACAAGAUGGCGUUAUCCAAAAAAAAAACCGAGCAAAGCUCGGUCAUCGUCUAGUUUACUUUAUACAUCCAAGGGAACAAAAAUUCUUACAAGAUAAGUCGAGAGAAAGACGAAAAAAUCUCACGAAAUUGAUGGUACAUACCAUUGUUGGUUGUAGUCGUCUGAAUAAAUUGUUAUUGAUAGUUAACAUUCCGGCGUUCCGCUACUUAUGCUUUUAUUGGAAGUUGGGAAGCUGACGGGUGUUUCGAUUGAGUGACAUAAUAUUGUUCUGAGAACGCCAAGACGUUCUUUAACUAAAAAAUAUUAAUAAUAAUCCAUACUUAAUGGUUUAAGGUUUUUUUUAUUGCUUAGAUGGAUGGAUGAGCUCAUAGCCCACCGGGUAUUAAGUGGCUACUGGAGCCCAUAGACAUCUACAACGUAAAUGCGCCACCCACCUUGAGAUAUAAGUUCUAAGAUCUCAGUAUAGUUAUAACGGCUGCCCUACCCUUCAGACCGAAACGCAUUACUGCUUCACGGCAGAAAUAGACAGGGCGGUGGUACCUACCCGCGCGGACUCACAAGAGGUCCUACCAAUAAGUCUGCUUAUCUGUUCUUCUGUAGCGAAGUAAAGAAGCAAUAUACUGACAUGAUUUUUUACAAUGAUAGUAUUAGGUUGGAAGAGUACUUGGUUACCUUUUAUCCCAAACUGUCAGUCCCACGGGAAACUUCACUGACAAUUUUCCUUGAUCACGUGGGAGAAGCUGCGUGUAAAAGCUAGUAAAAAAUAAAAACAACUCGGUCCGCCGUCCCCAAAGAAGAACAAGCCAAUAUGGCGUUUAUCUUAAAUUUUUGCGACAUUAUAUGAUUAUUUGAUGAGAUAACAUUAGUAUUUCGCAAACAUAUAAUUUUUUUUUAUUUAACACAAACCCGGAAACUGAAGUUCAAAGCCAAAACAAAUAAGGGCACGUAAUGACUCAACGUUAGAACUUAUAGGUUGAUACCGUUGCCAUGCGAUAACCGGUUUCAUUAAAAAAAAUAUGUUAUUGCCAGUAUAAUACAUUAGAUAUUAGCGAUAUUGCUGUUAGAAUUGUUGUUUACAUAUAUAUAUUUUUUUGCAAUUUACAAAGUGUAAUUGUUUUGACGCCUUUUUCCUCCAACUGUUCUUGUAUUAUUUAGUACUGGACAUGAAAAAAUUUAAAUUAAACACGUUGCAUUUUCGCGCGAAAAAGACGCUUGUCUCAUUUUCUGGUUCAUAAACUACGAUACGAUUUGAUACGUCAGAUCACAAACCAGAGAACCAAAUGUUGUGUCUAUUGUAACAGGUAUAAAUAACCCUUUAUGUUUAACAUUCCACUUAUCAAACAUUGAUUGUGUAGAAAUAAAUAGCUUUGCAUAUUUAAAUAGGCACAGAUAAAACAAUUGCGACGAUUUUCUCUUCUAUCUGUCAUCCGAGCUGAGUAUUAUUUAUUAACUAGUGGUCGCGCAGCAGUCGAAAUUCAACUAUAAUUAAUUGAAAUUAAAAGUUUAAACAUUAUUAUGGUUCUAUUAUCAAGCACUAUUAUACUUCUAUAAUAAUAUAGAUUUCGCCAAAAUUUCACUAUAAAUAAAUAAUAUUAAAGAAAAACAAUAUUAAUCUAUUCUCAAUUUGACCACAGACUUUAAAGAAUAACAAAAGUUUCACAAUUGACAAUAUACAAAGAGUAGGUAUAUUUAUACGUAUGUGUUGUGUCAAAUACAUGGUAGUGUGUGUAAUGUUUUCUCUAUCGAUUUAAUGUAUUUUUAAUGCACAAUUUAAAAAAAAUAUUAGAGUUCUGCACUUCUUCUCUACGUUCUCUAUAAGUGUGGGAAAUUUCAUUCUCCUCCGUCCGCGCAAUUGUCGUAAAAAGGGGUACAAAGUUUUUGCUUCACGUAUUAAUAUAUAGAUUAGCUGAAUGUUUUAUUUUUCGAAAUGCCAAAAACGAAGGGAAAAAGUAACAGUAAUAUUAAUGUACAGGGGGGUGCAACUCCCAUACAAAGGAAAAUAACAUACAACUAGCGUCAUCUUACUCCUGUGGCGACGUCAUUUUUGUAACUUUUAGGCAUUAAUGAUCUAAUAAACUCACUAGAUGGCAGAUAUGAGUUCUGACUCAAUAAAAAAUGUAGCGUACUUUGAAGCAGUGCUUCCACUUUUAGGGAAUUCUCCCUUUUUUAGGGAAAAAUAGCUGAUAUUUUGGAUGAUAAAGACAAUUUAAAAAAUACCAGGAUUUAGGAUAUUUCGGGGUAAAAAGCAAAGCCUAUACUAGUAACUGUUGUGAAUUUUAAAAUAAACGAUAAUUAAAGUAAAACAAUGAACAUUUUAUUUUAUGGAGAGAGAAUGACAUUAAGUCGAGUUGACAAGUAAAAGAAUAAAACAGAGUUGUGUAUAAAAACUAUAAAGGUUUGAUUCAACAGUAACCCUCUAGUAAAGUAAAUCAUAGAUUAAGCCACUGCUUUUUCUUAGGGAUUCCCCAGAAUCCCAAUAAGUAUAAUCCGCCAAAUUUUUAUUUACCUAUUUUCGUUGAUGUCACCAGAACUUACUUGUAUUGUAAUAUACAGGUACUUCAUGUACCAUGAAAGAUUAUCAUGGUAAUUUCAUUUACGAAAACCUUGUAAUUGUCAUUUCACUUUUGCUAGCAGUUCCUUCUUCAAAGACUGAGGUGGAAAGAUUAUUCAGUGUUCUCAAAUUUAAAAACUGACAAAAGAAACAGGCUUUCUAAUGAAACCCUGAACGGCUUGCUUCAUAGAAAGUUCCCAACUUUGCCAGCAAACAAUUGCUCAAUUUUAGAACCGAACAGUGUUAGGUUGUGCAGCAAAAGAAUAUAAAAGCAAUGCGUCGACUUCCUUGAAAAUUCUAAUCCUAUAGAUCUAUGAUCUUCUGGGGGCGUUUAUAUUAUAUAUACCUACAUUAAAUAAUAUGCUGUGGUUUAUUUUCUGUAUUUUAUUUACGCUUUCUAUAUAAAGGAUUUAUGAAAGUUGUCUAGGAAAUUUUAGGGUAAAUUCAAAAGAAACUAGGGUAAAAUGUGUUAAAAAAAACGUAAGUGGAAACACUGCUUUGAAGUUUUCAAAAUUCCAGGGCCGUAAAACAAUCUCAAAAAAAAAAAAAAGUUUUCAAAAUGUCGUAACGAUUUAAUUUUUUAAAUCGUUUUUUUUUUGGUCUUGGUAAUGUUUAUUAUUAAAAAUCAGCAUGCCUCGAAGAUCGAAAAUGAAAUGCUAUUUCGGAUGCCUUGAUAACGACAAAGGUUUGAUAAUGACAAAAUUUUAUGGAAAAAUUAUAAGGAGCACUAAAAUGUCUGAAACAUGAAAAGAUUGAUGCACUAUAUUUGAACCAGAACGUGUUAUGUAAUAUAUUAAUUUAAGAGAAACUGAUUCAGCAAGGAACGUGAACUCUCAAGGGAUCUUAAUUUUUUUAAAUAUGUUUAUAAUUGAUAAAUUAAUAAUUGAAAUAGUUCAUAAGAACUAAAUUGAUGCCAAUUUUGUUUUAAAAUAGGUUGUUUAGUUCUUAUAGUUAUAGUAUUACGUUUGAAUAGUUGUAAUUAGUAAGUUAGUAAUAUAUGAAAAUACUGAUAUAAAUUUUUGUAAAUAACCUUUUGUAAAUUCUACGAGAAGAUGAUUUUAAUUAAUGAUCAAAAGUCAACGGUCUUUAAAAGCAUUAUUUGCAAUUAUUUAGAUUAACUGUGGAAUAUAUUUGCUAAGUUGUGUUUUCUGUAUGAGUAGAUAUAAAUGAAAAUGCCCAAACAUGAUUAUGUUUCUUACAUUUUCAUUAUGUGAAAUCAAUAUGCUUGUGACUGAGUAUAUUAAUAAUUUAUUAAAACUUAAGUGAUAGACAGCAACCCCUAUGGCACUGCUGAAGUUUAUAAGCACUGGUGACCACUUAUCAUGGGCCGGGUUGCGUGCUCGUCUGCUGUUGAGUGCAAUAAAAAUUUUCGAAACCCUUUCUAUUAUUUCGAUGUAAUAUUAGUGUACAUUUAAUUUGGAUUAAAAGAUAAAUUUACAUUUUAUGUUUGCAUGUGUAUGUUUACAAUUCAUUUGCAUGUAACGAACACCAGUUUCUUUUGUAACAAAAUGUAAACUAAUGGUUUGUAAUGAAUGUAAAUAACUUUAAGAUGAUUUUCUUUCAAUCUGCUGUUUGUUUCAUCUAGUAUUACCAAAGCUAAAGCAUCAGAAACGUCAGAAUAGAAAUAAUUUAGAUAGGGAAUAAAAGUAUAACUAAUGUAAUCAUGUCUAAGAUUACUAUAAGCGUCAUUAAGUACAAACUAUCAAUAUUUAAGAGUACUUUAAAUCAUCAUUACAUUUUUUAAACAUUUUUUGUUUUUCAAAUCAUGUAAUAAAACGUUUGUGCAGAACAAAAUGUCACAUGUUAUGAAUAUGAUUGUGGGUUAAUCGUUUCUUAAAUUUCUAAAUGUUUAUAAGAAUGCUAAGAAUAAUUUAGUAUUCACUUUAGUGUGUGUAUUAUCUCUACAAUGCUAGUAUAAAUGACAAUUAUUGUAUGACGAAGCAUAGGUAGUGUUUAUAGAUGUAAUAUUUUCAUACAAGGUCAUGAUCUGUCACGAUCAACUUUAAGCAAGAACUGCUAUAGUUAAGAAACAAAUUUAUUAAAUUUAAUUCAAAUUGUCUACUAUGUUUGUAAUGGAAAGCUGACAUGUUUAUAUUUCGCACAAAUGACUUAAGUGACAUUGAAUGAUUUGAUUAUCUAGACUUAAUUAACUUUUAGAUAACUUUCGAUUUAAUGUUAUUAAGUACUCUAGUAGGAUUAAUCUAGAGGAGUUAUUGUUAUUCGAAAUUUUAUACAAUUGUACGUUCAUACUAUCUUUUAACAGUAAAUGGUUUGUAAUAUAGGGAAAUUAAAUAGCUUACAGAGAA
Bombyx mori (domestic silkworm) is the source of this 5628-nucleotide long non-coding RNA. RefSeq lists it as uncharacterized. NCBI's taxonomy places the organism in Eukaryota, Metazoa, Arthropoda, Insecta, Lepidoptera, Bombycidae. The record is from RefSeq and is a predicted model, not a curated record. The transcript has 4 exons.